RNAcentral lists this unclassified non-coding RNA (374 nucleotides) under uncultured bacterium. RNAcentral describes it as "contains 16S-23S intergenic spacer region". The record is from RNAcentral.
UCCGAGUUGACCCCGGCAGUCUCCUAUGAGUUCCCGGCAUUACCCGCUGGCAACUAAAAGCAGGGGUUGCGCUCGUUGCGGCACUUAAGCCAACACCUCACGGCACGAGCUGACGACAGCCAUGCAGCACCUGUGCUAGCCCCUUACGGACACGGGCUUUCACCCGCUUUAACUAGCAUGUCAAGCCUAGGUAAGGUUCUUCGCGUUGCAUCGAAUUAAACCACAUGCUCCACCGCUUGUGCGGGCCCCCGUCAAUUCCUUUGAGUUUCAGUCUUGCGACCGUACUCCCCAGGCGGAGUGCUUAAUGUGUUAGCUGCGUCACCGACAUGCAUGCAUGCCGACAACUAGCACUCAUCGUUUACGGCGUGGACUAC